GAAUUAAUUCCCCAUAGUACAUUCUAUUAUCUCAUGAUAUAAAUGUUAAAGAUUUAUCGGUUAAAGAUGGGCAUGCGUCUGAUUAGUUUGUUGGUAAGGUAACGGCUUACCAAGACUACGAUCAGUAGGGGGUCUGAGAGGAUGAUCCCCCACACUGGUACUGAGACACGGACCAGACUCCUACGGGAGGCAGCAGUAAGGAAUAUUGGGCAAUGGGCGCAAGCCUGACCCAGCCAUGCCGCGUGCAGGAUGACGACCCUAUGGGUUGUAAACUGCUUUUAUAUAGGAAGAAAACACUCUUGCGAGAGAAACUGACGGUACUAUAUGAAUAAGGACCGGCUAACUCCGUGCCAGCAGCCGCGGUAAUACGGAGGGUUCAAGCGUUUUCCGGAUUUAUUGGGUUUAAAGAGUGCGUAGGUGGUUUAUUAAGUCAGUGGUGAAAUCCUGCAGCUCAACUGUAGAACUGCCAUUGAUACUGGUAAACUUGAGUUUGGUUUAGGUAAGUGGAAUUUAUGAUGUAGCGGUGAAAUGCAUAGAUAUCAUAAGGAACACCAAUAGCGAAGGCAGCUUACUGGACCACAACUGACACUGAGGCACGAAAGCGUGGGUAGCGAACAGGAUUAGAUACCCUGGUAGUCCACGCCGUAAACGAUGCUCACUCGAUGUUAGCGAUAUACUGUUAGCGUCCAAGCUAAAGCGUUAA
Molecule: ribosomal RNA, 703 nt
Filed under: uncultured Bacteroidota bacterium
Lineage: Bacteria; Pseudomonadati; Bacteroidota
Description: bacterial SSU rRNA
Rfam family: Bacterial small subunit ribosomal RNA
Source: RNAcentral